CCUACGGGAGGCUGCAGUGAGGAAUAUUGGUCAAUGGACGAGAGUCUGAACCAGCCAAGUAGCGUGAAGGAUGACUGCCCUAUGGGUUGUAAACUUCUUUUAUAAAGGAAUAAAACGAGGCACGUGUGCCUUUUUGCAUGUACUUUAUGAAUAAGGAUCGGCUAACUCCGUGCCAGCAGCCGCGGUAAUACGGAGGAUCCGAGCGUUAUCCGGAUUUAUUGGGUUUAAAGGGAGCGUAGAUGGGUUGUUAAGUCAGUUGUGAAAGUUUGCGGCUCAACCGUAAAAUUGCAAUUGGUACUGGCAGUCGUGAGUACAGUUGAGGUAAGCGGAAUUCGUGGUGUAGCGGUGAAAUGCUUAGAUAUCACGAAGAACCCCGAUUGCGAAGGCAGCUUACUAAACUGUGACUGACAUUGAUGCUCGAAAGUGUGGGUAUCAAACAGGAUUAGAUACCCGAGUAGUC
Molecule: ribosomal RNA, 460 nt
Filed under: uncultured bacterium
Lineage: Bacteria
Description: partial 16S ribosomal RNA
Rfam family: Bacterial small subunit ribosomal RNA
Source: RNAcentral